UGCAUUUUGUCACCAUAUCUCCUUAAUUUCUUCUGAUCUGUGACUAUUCUUCAGUCUUUUCUUGUCACUCAUGACCUGAGUCUUAUGAAGAGUACUGGUCAGAUAUUUUGUAGAAAGCUCCUCAAUUUGAGUUAGUCUGAUAUUUUCUCUUAAUUAGACUUAGGGUAUUGGACUUUGGGGAACAAAACCGUAGAAUUGAUGUGCCCUUUUUAUGAUAGCAAUAUGCAUUAUUGUUACUAGUAAUGUUAACCAUGAUUACUUGGUAAUGGUGCUGGCAGGUUUCUCUGCUGUAAAGUCACUGGUUUUUCAUUUCAAAAUUAUAUUUUUAAAGUGAGUCAUUAAAUCCCACUCAAGUGGGAGAAGAAUUAAACUCUACCUGCUGGAAGGAGAAGCUCCAAAGACUUUGUAAAUUCUGAAAAGGGAUCAACCUUAUUUCUCUCAUUUGAUUUGACUGCAUCAUCACCACGAAGUAAUUGGUUUUCCACACCAAGCAAAUGGGAGAUGAAGUAAAUGUGUCUAGAAGGGUUUCGAAAUUAAAUAAAAUAUUUCUAAAAUUACUGCUAUGAAUGUUGUCCUUCCUGCCUUGACACCCACUUAGAGUUGGACCUCGAUGGAAUCAAGUUACUGCUAGUCUUGGGUGUCAGAAGAGACCUUUAUUACUCCAGGUUGGGUUUGUUAAAACAUGAAGCUGCAUUAUCUCAAAAAAGCAGCAUUUUAAAAAGGUUAUUUAUUAUUGGUCUUUUAUAUGUUCUUCAUAGUAUUGGACUCGACUAAUCAGAGACAUGUUGGCUUUUUAUUCGCAG
Molecule: long non-coding RNA, 803 nt
Filed under: Homo sapiens (human)
Lineage: Eukaryota; Metazoa; Chordata; Mammalia; Primates; Hominidae
Description: HSALNT0192936
Source: RNAcentral